Molecule: ribosomal RNA, 534 nt
Filed under: Naganishia sp.
Lineage: Eukaryota; Fungi; Basidiomycota; Tremellomycetes; Filobasidiales; Filobasidiaceae
Description: partial large subunit ribosomal RNA
Rfam family: Eukaryotic large subunit ribosomal RNA
Source: RNAcentral
ACGGCGAGUGAAGCGGGAAGAGCUCAAAUUUGAAAUCUGGUAGCCUUCGGUUGCCCGAGUUGUAAUCUAGAGAAAUGUUUUCCGUGCCGGCCCAUGUACAAGUCCCUUGGAACAGGGCGUCAUAGAGGGUGAGAAUCCCGUCCUUGACAUGGACCCCCGGUGCUUUGUGAUACAUUUUCAACGAGUCGAGUUGUUUGGGAAUGCAGCUCAAAAUGGGUGGUGAAUUCCAUCUAAAGCUAAAUAUUGGCGAGAGACCGAUAGCGAACAAGUACCGUGAGGGAAAGAUGAAAAGCACUUUGGAAAGAGAGUUAAACAGUACGUGAAAUUGUUGAAAGGGAAACGAUUGAAGUCAGUCAUGCUCUUUGGUAUUUAUAUCAUUGAGUGGGGUCAACAUCAGUUUUGAUCGAUGGAUAAAGGCACUAGGAAGGUAGCACUCUCGGGUGAACUUAUAGCCUAGCGUCAUAUACAUUGAUUGGGACUGAGGAACGCAGCAUGCCUUUAUGGCCGGGAUUCUGUCCACGUACAUGCUUAGGA